GAUGAAGAACGUAGCGAAAUGCGAUAAGUAAUGUGAAUUGCAGAAUUCCGUGAAUCAUCGAAUCUUUGAACGCACAUUGCGCCCCCUGGUAUUCCGGGGGGCAUGCCUGUCCGAGCGUCAUUGCAACCUUCAAGCGCGGCUUGUGUGUUGGGUCUCUUCCCCCGUGGACGGGCCCGAAAGGCAGUGGCGGCGUCCCGACAUGGUGCCCGAGCGUAUGGGAAUCCUCUUCCGCUCGAAUCGGCCCAUGCGGCGCUGGUCGUAACCAAAUUUUUUACCGGUUGACCUCGGAUCAGGUAGGGAUACCCGCUGAACUUAAGCAUAUCAAUAAGCGGAGGA
This 336-nucleotide unclassified non-coding RNA is filed under the name soil metagenome. Its description in RNAcentral is "partial contains 5.8S ribosomal RNA, internal transcribed spacer 2, and large subunit ribosomal RNA". The stretch from base 1 to 120 matches the Rfam family "5.8S ribosomal RNA", at positions 35 to 154 of the family's 154-position model. The record is from RNAcentral.